GGUGACCAACUAGUCCUAAGCAUUGGCAAUUAAAAAAAAUAAUGCAUUAGGGUUUUAUUCAGAAGGCAAAUACAAAAGGUUUAAAACCCUAAAAUAAGGUUUUAUUUGCAUCUGCAAAACAAUUUGAUUCAAAAUAUUUCUUUCUCUGCGCUUCCCCUUUUUCUUUCUUUUAGCCUUUUCUUUUUCCCUUUUUCUUAUUUCUUUGAUAUCGUUUGAUUUUGAUCUCCAAAUUGGUGCAAAUAAAUUCCAAAAAAUUUGUAAAAUCAUGUUUUAUUAUGAUUCAACUUUUGGGAGUAGUUUCCCCUCAAAAUAAAAUAUACAAAAAUACAUUUGCCCUAUAAAUGCCUUUAGGGCUAAAUAACUAUUUAAAUAAAAUAGUUUUUCAACUCCAAAAAUUAUCCAAAAAUUAUGGGAUAGCUCAUUUAUGCAAUGAAACCCCUUUUAUAAAUAAACCUUGUUGGUUUGAAGAUCCAAAGCUCAAAUGGGUGAAAACCCUAGGGUUUAAAUUGAAAUUAAAUCUUUCCAAAGCCUUUUGAGAUUCAAAUUUGAAUUCAAAUAUGCAAUUGUGGCAUGAUGCUCAUGGAUGCAAUGCACAUGUAAGAAUUUGAAUUUUUGGGAUGUUACAGACCUAACCCCCUUAAGAUGAAUCUCGUCCUCGAGAUUCGGUGUGGCUAGCAAAGAGGUAUGGGUGGUCUUCUCGAAGAUCAUCUUCGCGUUUCCAAAUGGCUUCCUCUUCAGUGUGAUGCUCCCACUGAACUUUGCAAAACCUGAUGGUCUUGGAUCGGGUUUGUCUCUCAGCUGUAUCCAAGAUUCUGAUAGGUUUCUCCUCAUAGGUGAGGUCACUUUGCAGUUGGACUUCCUCUAGAGGUAUUGUAUCCCUU
RNAcentral lists this long non-coding RNA (881 nucleotides) under Brachypodium distachyon (stiff brome). Its description in RNAcentral is "long non-coding RNA (BDIS_LNC001901)". The record is from RNAcentral. Lineage: Eukaryota; Viridiplantae; Streptophyta; Magnoliopsida; Poales; Poaceae.